GACGAACGCUGGCGGCGUGCCUAAUACAUGCAAGUCGAGCGGACUUUCAAGAAGCUUGCUUUUUGAAAGUUAGCGGCGGACGGGUGAGUAACACGUGGGCAACCUGCCUGUAAGACGGGGAUAACUCCGGGAAACCGGGGCUAAUACCGGAUAAUAUCUUUCUUCGCAUGAAGGAAGGUUGAAAGGCGGCGCAAGCUGCCGCUUGCAGAUGGGCCCGCGGCGCAUUAGCUAGUUGGUGAGGUAACGGCUCACCAAGGCGACGAUGCGUAGCCGACCUGAGCGGGUGAUCGGCCACACGGGGACUGAGACACGGCCCAGACUCCUACGGGAGGCAGCAGUAGGGAAUCUUCCACAAUGGACGAAAGUCUGACGGAGCAACGCCGCGUGAGCGAAGAAGGUCUUCGGAUCGUAAAGCUCUGUUGUCAGGGAAGAACAAGUACCGGUCGAAUAGGGCGGUACCUUGACGGUACCUGACCAGAAAGCCACGGCUAACUACGUGCCAGCCGCCGCAGUAA
RNAcentral lists this ribosomal RNA (515 nucleotides) under uncultured bacterium. RNAcentral's name for it is "partial 16S ribosomal RNA". It matches the Rfam family "Bacterial small subunit ribosomal RNA", at positions 28 to 523 of the family's 1533-position model. The record is from RNAcentral.